UCAUAGUAAGAUUACACAACCAGCUGGAGGACAGCCCUUUGGGACAUUGGAGAGCACAUGCUCCUGGGCCAGGCCUGGGGCCGCUGGUCCCCCGAGCAAGUCUGCCUGUCUUCUGAGCAGAACUGUUCCUGGCUUGGGGGGCCUCUCCAGCCUGGCUGUGCUUCACCAAAGGAGAAGCUCUAUACCCUCCUGCUGCCCACUGUACAGAGACAACGCAAGGUGUUCAGAAGAUUCACAGGCAGCACGUGGAGUCUUAAUGGUCCAACAUUCUUUAACCACCUCUUGGUGUCACAGCUAAGAACGCUUGUCUCAAAACUCUGCCUGGAAAUCCAUCUCAGGAACUUGCUGCUGCUGAGAACGGCGCAGGUACAACUGACACUCAUGGUUGCUUAAGGAGGUGGUCCUUCAAGUUUCACUGGAUUGCCAGAAUGCUCUUCAGUCUGGACAGGGAAAAAUAACCCUACUGAGUUCACAUUUGUUAAGAAGAUGCCCAAGAAGGAACUUCAGGCUUCAAAAAGAGUUGUACGAGCAGGUAAGUUUGCUCGGGGCCUGGUGUUCCUCUGUCGCACACUGUAGCAAAUGGGAGACAGCCCUAGAGAACGGAGUGGGCAGAGGUUCUGAUUUUCAAGAGGGAAAACUCUUUGGGUCCUGCAAACUGAAAACCUAUGAGUGUGAGGGUGAGCGCCAAUGUAAUUGCAGUGUGGGCUGUUGAGCCAACAGUCUGUGUUCCCAAGGAAGAGGAGUCCAGCUUGCUGCAGAGCUGCAGGCUCCUCUGGAAACAAACCCUGCCAGUCUCACCUCCUCCCUUCUUCUAAUGCGGCGACAGGGCCUGUAGAUCAGGGAGACAUCAGUGAUGUGGCACAUCUGGAUCUUAGCAAGACAGCUGCCAGUCUCCCGUGACUGGUAGUAGACAGAGCUGGAGGAGUGUGAAGUCGAGGCACCGUGAGUCAGAAGUUUGCAUGAACCUGAGGAUGGCUGCUUGACAGUAACUCGGGGGAUGGAUCCAGUGGUGAGCAACAAGCUCUGCCCUAAGCCCUGCUGUCUUGGACACUUCUAAUCAAUAGCUUGAAGAUGAUGCCGUGUGGGAGGGUGAUAAUUUACAACUGGAGGCUCAGACAAACUGAAAUAAUGGGAAGAAUCUAAGAGGAUGAAAUUUGAGUAGAAUAAGUGGAAAGUUCUGAACUUCGGUUUAACAAAUCAAUGUCAAAGGGUGAAAAGGACUUAAGGAUUUUAGCUGAAUAAAAGCUCAUUCGAUCUUCUGCCAAACAUUUGGCAAAUUUUGAAAUGCACCAUGUCCCUGCACACCUUCGUACCUCUCUGUGGGGUGCUCCUUGUCCUCCUCCAAUGCACUUGCUGGAUUCCAGUCCACUCUUUAGGAGCCAGCUCACCACCCCAACCUGGGUGGAAUCAUUUGCAAAGGCGUGGACCACUCCCUUGCCUGUGCUUCUGGGGACACUAGGCACACUUUGUUAAAAUGACAACCCCUCCCUUCACAGAGCAGGGUGAUCGUCCACCGAGGGCCUGCUAACCAACACCAGCAGGAUGGAUCUUGCUGCUAAUUCUGUGUUUGUACAGGAAAUGGGCAGAAUUGAUUCCUACUUCUGCUCAUGCAGGACAAGUCAGACAGUUUGAAUGUAGGUUUCCAUUUUGGGUCUCCUGUUUCAAAGGGCGUAUGAGUCAGGCCAGAGUGAACCCCCAGAAAAGCAGGUGAGGUGGCUAAGGAUCUUAAUGUGAGGAAGGUGGGAAUGUCCAGCCACGGAAAGGGAAGGCCCAGGUGAGGAUGCACGGGCUGUCUUCCGGUGAUUGAGAGAACGUCCUCACUGUCAGGGACUUCAGUAACAUGAUGAGCCCUUGCACCUGCACCUACACAUCCAUGAUUUUCCUGGCGUAGAAGCAAUCUGGGGGUGGUGCUGAAGGGCCUGGCUGGACUCAGACUGGGCAUCCGGAUCCUGAGGGGCACACUUUUUAGCUUAGUGGCCUUGGGCAAGUUGCCUCAUCUCUUAUCUAUUUCCUUAUCUGUGAAAUAGAGAUAAAAAUAUUACCACCCAUAGGAAGCAAAAUGUGACAGUGCAGGAAAUGUGUUUAGAACAAAGUCUGCCUUAUUCAGUAAAUGUUAGCUUAAAAAAGCCCAGGGUGUGCCAUCCCCAAAGCCUGAAGUAGUUUGCUAUCCAAAGCCAGGGACACCAGAUAGAGAACCCC
This 2199-nucleotide long non-coding RNA is filed under the name Fukomys damarensis (Damara mole-rat). Its description in RNAcentral is "lncRNA (ENSFDAG00000022646.1)". Lineage: Eukaryota; Metazoa; Chordata; Mammalia; Rodentia; Bathyergidae. The record is from RNAcentral.